This 465-nucleotide ribosomal RNA is filed under the name uncultured bacterium. Its description in RNAcentral is "bacterial SSU rRNA". It matches the Rfam family "Bacterial small subunit ribosomal RNA", at positions 329 to 792 of the family's 1533-position model. The record is from RNAcentral.
UUCCAGACUCCUACGGGAGGCAGCAGUGAGGAAUAUUGGUCAAUGGACGAAAGUCUGAACCAGCCAUGCCGCGUGCAGGAUGACGGCUCUAUGAGUUGUAAACUGCUUUUGUAUUAGGGUAAACACCCCCACGUGUAGGGGCUUGAAAGUAUAAUACGAAUAAGGAUCGGCUAACUCCGUGCCAGCAGCCGCGGUAAUACGGAGGAUCCAAGCGUUAUCCGGAUUUAUUGGGUUUAAAGGGUGCGCAGGCGGAGGCACAAGUCAGCGGUAAAAUCGGGGGGCUCAACCCCGCUCCGCCGUUGAAACUGUGUCCCUUGAGUGCGCGAAGGGUAGGCGGAAUGCGUGGUGUAGCGGUGAAAUGCAUAGAUAUCACGCAGAACUCUGAUCGCGAAGGCAGCCUACCGGCGCGCAACUGACGCUCAUGCACGAAAGCGUGGGUAUCGAACAGGAUUAGAUACCCUAGUA